UUCAGAUUGCAGGCUGCAACCCGCCUGCAUGAAGUCGGAAUUGCUAGUAAUCGCGGAUCAGCAUGCCGCGGUGAAUACGUUCCCGGGCCUUGUACACACCGCCCGUCACACCAUGGGAGCCGGUAAUACCCGAAGUCAGUAGUCCAACCUCGUGAGGACGCUGCCGAAGGUAGGAUUGGCGACUGGGGUGAAGUCGUAACAAGGUAGC
This 208-nucleotide ribosomal RNA is filed under the name uncultured bacterium. RNAcentral's name for it is "partial 16S ribosomal RNA". It matches the Rfam family "Bacterial small subunit ribosomal RNA", at positions 1292 to 1500 of the family's 1533-position model. The record is from RNAcentral.